RNAcentral lists this ribosomal RNA (505 nucleotides) under uncultured bacterium. Its description in RNAcentral is "partial 16S ribosomal RNA". It matches the Rfam family "Bacterial small subunit ribosomal RNA", at positions 28 to 507 of the family's 1533-position model. The record is from RNAcentral.
GGCGAACGCUGGCGGCGUGCCUAAUACAUGCAAGUAGAACGCACAGUUUAUACCGUAGCUUGCUACACCAUACACUGUGAGUUGCGAACGGGUGAGUAACGCGUAGGUAACCUGCCUGGUAGCGGGGGAUAACUAUCGGAAACGAUAGCUAAUACCGCAUAAUAUUGAUUAUUGCAUGAUAAUUGAUUGAAAGAUGCUAUUGCAUCACUACCAGAUGGACCUGCGUUGUAUUAGCUAGUAGGUGAGGUAACGGCUCACCUAGGCGACGAUACAUAGCCGACCUGAGAGGGUGAUCGGCCACACUGGGACUGAGACACGGCCCAGACUCCUACGGGAGGCAGCAGUAGGGAAUCUUCGGCAAUGGACGAAAGUCUGACCGAGCAACGCCGCGUGAGUGAAGAAGGUUUUCGGAUCGUAAAGCUCUGUUGUAAGAGAAGAACGGGUGUGAGAGUGGAAAGUUCACACUGUGACGGUAUCUUACCAGAAAGGGACGGCUAACUACGUG